This is a long non-coding RNA of Tribolium castaneum (red flour beetle), 1183 nucleotides long. RefSeq lists it as uncharacterized. The record is from RefSeq and is a predicted model, not a curated record. The transcript has 2 exons. Lineage: Eukaryota; Metazoa; Arthropoda; Insecta; Coleoptera; Tenebrionidae.
AAGUAGCUGAACUUAGAACUGCAAAAAUGCCUGUUCAAUGGUCAGAACACACGAACGCUGUAAUUAUAUUUCAGCUGUUCUGUGUUGCAUAGUACCGGUCUGGUUUUAAAUAAAGGAUUCUGAACAAUGGAUAAGUCAAAUCACAAAAAUGAACUCCACAUCUGGGGCAUUAUUCCCGUCUUGGCAACAGGAAGUCCCGGUCCCAGCCACCGGAAGCGGGGUUGGUCCACAUCCCUUGUUUGUUUCGAGCGCCAGCUUGUCUUAAUCAUUCACUAUUUCUCGUUUCUUGACCAAAAACAGCGUCAUAUGGCCACUGAAUCGCCUUUAUUAGAUCCUAGUAUGGAAAACGUUCAGUACAUUUACUCAUAAAAGGUACUGGCACCGACAGCUGCAUGAUCAGUCUGCUUCUGCAGCUGUUACCUUGUCGAUGACUGACGGUAUGGUAAGAAUUUUUCCUUGCCGUCUCGAAGAAGUUACUCGGGAAAUAUUCGAGAGAUUAGCAUCGAAGGAUAGAACCGGAUGGGGCGACCUUGUCCUUGAGGUCAUCAUCGAUGACUAUUACACAUAAUAUGUGCAGUACACGCGAGGAAUUUCAGCCCAAAAAAAGAUAACGAGACUUAGCAUUCAGCACUGUUUGCAAAGUUGCAAUGAUUCAUGUGAAAAGUUACUGAACUUGAAGAGCUGACUAUGGAAGCUGUUGCUUUAUUUUAGUGUUUAGUUUACACUCGAAUGUUAUUUAUUUUCGGCAGAAAUGACGCAACUUAGAUUCAUCUAGCCUUGGAGCAGCCAGCGAAUGGAACACGAAAAGACCCCGAAUGGGCCCCGAAAUUUAACCUUUCACCCAUUUCGUACCUUGAAAACCUGUUCAUUCGCGCUUAUCCCAUUUCAGCUCAUAGCUGAAUUUUGCAACAACGCAUUUGCAUUUUUCGGAGCGAAAUAGAGGGUUCAAAAUUUGACAAAAAGCCUGCUCUUAUCACUUGAGUCACCCUGUAAUCAACCCCAGAAGGAAAAUAUUUAUUCUGUGAUAAGCAUGGAACCGGCAUUGUUUCCAAGUGACUGUACUUUACAGAACGAUUAACAAUGGCUGGGUUUUUUACCAGUGGUUAAAUUCGGCGAUAAAACCCACAUUACAAGAAGGAAAAUUAAUUGCGGCCCAUUUUUAAAGCACUCAAGCGCGAUGAUA